RNAcentral lists this ribosomal RNA (451 nucleotides) under uncultured bacterium. RNAcentral describes it as "bacterial SSU rRNA". It matches the Rfam family "Bacterial small subunit ribosomal RNA", at positions 28 to 487 of the family's 1533-position model. The record is from RNAcentral.
GAUGAACGCUGGCGGCGUGCUUAACACAUGCAAGUCGAACGGGAUCCCAGGAGCUUGCUCCUGGGUGAGAGUGGCGAACGGGUGAGUAAUGCGUGACCGACCUGCCCCAUACACCGGAAUAGCUCCUGGGAACGGGUGGUAAUGCCGGAUGCUCCAGUUGACCGCAUGGUCCUCUGGGAAAGCUUUUGCGGUAUGGGAUGGGGUCGCGUCCUAUCAGCUUGAUGGCGGGGUAACGGCCCACCAUGGCUUCGACGGGUAGCCGGCCUGAGAGGGCGACCGGCCACAUUGGGACUGAGAUACGGCCCAGACUCCUACGGGAGGCAGCAGUGGGGAAUAUUGCACAAUGGGCGCAAGCCUGAUGCAGCGACGCCGCGUGCGGGAUGACGGCCUUCGGGUUGUAAACCGCUUUUGACUGGGAGCAAGCCCUUCGGGGUGAGUGUACCUUUCGAAU